UACGUAGGCAGCGAGCGUUGUCCGGAAUUAUUGGGCGUAAAGAGCUUGUAGGCGGUCUGUCGCGUCUGCUGUGAAAAUCCGGGGCUCAACCCCGGACUUGCAGUGGGUACGGGCAGACUAGAGUGUGGUAGGGGAGACUGGAAUUCCUGGUGUAGCGGUGAAAUGCGCAGAUAUCAGGAGGAACACCGAUGGCGAAGGCAGGUCUCUGGGCCACUACUGACGCUGAGAAGCGAAAGCAUGGGGAGCGAACAGG
Molecule: ribosomal RNA, 253 nt
Filed under: uncultured bacterium
Lineage: Bacteria
Description: partial 16S ribosomal RNA
Rfam family: Bacterial small subunit ribosomal RNA
Source: RNAcentral